Planococcus citri (citrus mealybug) is the source of this 821-nucleotide long non-coding RNA. RefSeq lists it as uncharacterized. The record is from RefSeq and is a predicted model, not a curated record. The transcript is spliced from 2 exons. Lineage: Eukaryota; Metazoa; Arthropoda; Insecta; Hemiptera; Pseudococcidae.
AAAUGAAAUCUUGCGAAGCUCUUUGUCAUAUUCGCUUUUCUUCGUCGUAUUACGAUUACGAACUUUCAAAGUUCAAAUUUCGAAAAAAUGAAUAUGCAAGAAAAAAUAAGUUUGCAGUUUUGCAAUGAAAGGUAGAAAACGAAAACUUCCGAAACGUUCUUUGCAUAUCAUUUUUUGCAAUUACGACGUGAAGUAAGCUUCUUGAGUAGCUAUGAGUUUGAUUCAUUGCAACAUACCUAUUACUCAAGUACAUUGAGUACCUAUGCAUCUAUCUUUGUAGUUUUCUAUUUGUAAGCGACUCCUAGGAAUCUGGGAAGAUUGUAUUCCUGUUGCACAUAAAAUGUGCUAUUGUAACGCAAAUUGCAAAUCUUGAUGGAGAAAUUAGAGUAUGUAAGUAAAUGUGACGAAAGCACAGUUACCUAUAGUAGUAGCCUACAUAAAUACGGGUUAGAUCAGAUAGCUUUAUUGUAUAUCGCGAACUUGCAUUCAAAGUUGUGUUUGUGUAGGUGUUAUUUUUAAAGAGUGAUUUCGAUCGCAACAUUACGAACUUAUCUUUACUAGAUUUCAAAACAAGAUAACAAAUCUUGAUCAAGAUGAUGAAUAUUCUUCCUGUAAUCAUCUUAUUGCUAGUUGCUGGAUUGUUGUCAAGUAGUUGGAGUACUAUUGUAAUGGCAGCCGAGGAAACUGGAAGCUCUGUAACUGUUCCAAGUACGAUGCAAUGUUUAAAUGAGAAUUUUCAGAAGAUGCUCAAAUGCUUUACAUGAGAACGCAUCACAUGUACUAUGAUUUUGCAAAAAUGACAGAAUAAAUAUGUAAAUGUA